GCAAGUAUGGCCGAGUGGUCUAAGGCGCUACAAUCAGGAUGUAGUCAGAAAUGGCGCGGGUUCGAAUCCCGUUACUUGCA
RNAcentral lists this transfer RNA (80 nucleotides) under Neocallimastix californiae. It matches the Rfam family "tRNA". From Rfam's summary of the family: Transfer RNA (tRNA) molecules are approximately 80 nucleotides in length. RNAcentral also lists the same sequence under 2 other names. The record is from Rfam by way of RNAcentral. Lineage: Eukaryota; Fungi; Neocallimastigomycota; Neocallimastigomycetes; Neocallimastigales; Neocallimastigaceae.